Molecule: ribosomal RNA, 1406 nt
Filed under: uncultured bacterium
Lineage: Bacteria
Description: bacterial SSU rRNA
Rfam family: Bacterial small subunit ribosomal RNA
Source: RNAcentral
UCACGGCUAGAACUGAACGCCGGCCGGCCGGCUUCACACAUGCAAGUUCGAAACGGUAGCAGGAGAAAGCCUUGGCCUUUUCUUGCUGAACGAGCGGCGGAACGGGUGAGUAAUGCUUCGGGAAAUCUGGCUUCAUGGAGGGGGAUAACUACGGGAAACUGUAGCUAAUACCGCGUAGAAUCGGAAGAAUGAAAGUGCGGGACCGCAAGGCCGCAUGCCAUGAGAUGAGCCCAAGUGGGAUUAGGUAGUUGGUGGGGUAAAGGCCUACCAAGCCUGCGAUCUCUAGCUGGUCUGAGAGGAUGACCAGCCACACUGGAACUGAGACACGGUCCAGACUCCUACGGGAGGCAGCAGUGGGGAAUAUUGCGCAAUGGGGGCAACCCUGACGCAGCCAUGCCGCGUGAAUGAAGAAGGCCUUCGGGUUGUAAAGUUCUUUCGGUAUUGAGGAAGGUUGAUGUGUUAAUAGUACAUCAAAUUGACGUUAAAUACAGAAGAAGCACCGGCUAACUCCGUGCCAGCAGCCGCGGUAAUACGGAGGGUGCGAGCGUUAAUCGGAAUAACUGGGCGUAAAGGGCACGCAGGCGGUUAUUUAAGUGAGGUGUGAAAGCCCCGGGCUUAACCUGGGAAUUGCAUUUCAGACUGGGUAACUAGAGUACUUUAGGGAGGGGUAGAAUUCCACGUGUAGCGGUGAAAUGCGUAGAGAUGUGGAGGAAUACCGAAGGCGAAGGCAGCCCCUUGGGAAUGUACUGACGCUCAUGUGCGAAAGCGUGGGGAGCAAACAGGAUUAGACACCCUGGUAGUCCACGCUGUAAACGCUGUCGAUUUGGGGAUUGGGCUUAAAGCUUGGUGCCCGUAGCUAACGUGAUAAAUCGACCGCCUGGGGAGUACGGCCGCAAGGUUAAAACUCAAAUGAAUUGACGGGGGCCCGCACAAGCGGUGGAGCAUGUGGUUUAAUUCGAUGCAACGCGAAGAACCUUACCUACUCUUGACAUCCAUGGAAUCCUGUAGAGAUACGGGAGUGCCUUCGGGAACCAUGAGACAGGUGCUGCAUGGCUGUCGUCAGCUCGUGUUGUGAAAUGUUGGGUUAAGUCCCGCAACGAGCGCAACCCUUAUCCUUUGUUGCCAGCGAUUUGGUCGGGAACUCAAAGGAGACUGCCAGUGAUAAACUGGAGGAAGGUGGGGAUGACGUCAAGUCAUCAUGGCCCUUACGAGUAGGGCUACACACGUGCUACAAUGGCGUAUACAGAGGGUGGCGAAACUGCGAAGUGGAGCGAAUCUCAGAAAAGUACGUCUAAGUCCGGAUUGGAGUCUGCAAACUCGACUCCUUGAAGUCGGAAUCGCUAGUAAUCGCGAAUCAGAAAUGUCGCGGUGAAAUACGUUUCCCGGGCCUUCGCGCCCCCCCCCGU